ACUCCUACGGGAGGCAGCAGUAGGGAAUAUUGGUCAAUGGGCGAAAGCCUGAACCAGCCAUGCCGCGUGUCAGAUGAAGGUCCUCUGGAUUGUAAAAUGACUUUUCUACGGGAAGAAUGAGCCGUCUGCGGACGGAAGUUGACGGUACCGUAGGAAUAAGCACCGGCUAACUACGUGCCAGCAGCCGCGGUAAUACGUAGGGGUGCAAGCGUUGUCCGGAUUUACUGGGGUUUAAAGGGUACGUAGGCGGUUGUGCCAAGUCUGGGGUGAAAGUUUGCAGCUCAACUGUAAAAUUGCCUUGGAUACUGGUCGGCUAGAGUAGUGGAGCGGUGGCUGGAAUUUAUAGUGUAGCGGUGAAAUGCUUAGAUACUAUGAGGAACACCAAUUGCGAAGGCAGGUCACUGGUCACUAACUGACGCUGAGGUACGAAAGUGUGGGGAUCAAACAGGAUUAGAUACCCUGGUAGGAUAGCG
This 473-nucleotide ribosomal RNA is filed under the name uncultured bacterium. Its description in RNAcentral is "bacterial SSU rRNA". It matches the Rfam family "Bacterial small subunit ribosomal RNA", at positions 335 to 799 of the family's 1533-position model. The record is from RNAcentral.